Ananas comosus (pineapple) is the source of this 459-nucleotide long non-coding RNA. RefSeq lists it as uncharacterized. The transcript has 2 exons. Lineage: Eukaryota; Viridiplantae; Streptophyta; Magnoliopsida; Poales; Bromeliaceae. The record is from RefSeq and is a predicted model, not a curated record.
UCUGUUGAAUGCUUUUAUUACAAGACCUGCUUAUCUAACUAUUAGCAGAUAUCUUGAAGCUAUUGUGAUAGUUGUAAUGGCUUGCUAUUUUUCAUCCUCUUGCGACAGAUGCUACUAUUAAGUUAUUAUUCUCUUUGGGCUAUUUUUUAUCCUCUUGCGAUUGAUACUGCUGUUAAAUUAAUCAAUGAGUUUCUUAAAUGUCCAAUUUUCUUGCCAUGUUUAAUUGAUCAAUGAGUUUCUUAAAUGCAGUUUAGUGCGGCUAUGUGGUCUGCUAGAGAGUGUAACAAGUUUCUGCUCGCUGGACUUUUUUUUUCAGGACGAACAAAAUUAUAGGUUUUCUGGAUUUAGUGAUUCAAAUCUAUUCGUCACUUUUUCGAUGGAAUGCUGCAGUUAUACAUCAAUGCCAAUUGACACUCCUACAUCAAUUAAGGGGUUCUAUAUACUUGGCCUUAAUUGUUA